RNAcentral lists this ribosomal RNA (439 nucleotides) under Gibbula turbinoides. RNAcentral describes it as "partial 16S ribosomal RNA". It matches the Rfam family "Bacterial large subunit ribosomal RNA", at positions 1998 to 2597 of the family's 2925-position model. Lineage: Eukaryota; Metazoa; Mollusca; Gastropoda; Trochida; Trochidae. The record is from RNAcentral.
GGUUUGACGAGGGCCAUGCUGUCUCUUUUGAAAUAUUUAAAAAUUAACCUUUAGGUGAAGAGGCCUAAAUAUAUUUAAGGGACAAGAAGACCCUGUUGAGCUUUAGUGAAGCUGUGGAUGUCCAAGUAAUGUAAAAAGUCUUGUUUUGUAUAUAAAAUAUAAUAGUAGUUUGCGGUUAAUCUUUAGUUGGGGCGACUGAGGAACAUGUAAAGCUUCCUUAUUUAAGUCAGACUGUAUAAGUCAGUUGAAUUAAAAAUGCUUUUAUGUUAUUUUGAUCCAAUUUUAUUUUGAUUAAGAGAAAAAGUUACCACAGGGAUAACAGCGUAAUCUUUCUGGAGAGAUCUGAUCGAAAGAAGGGUUUGCGACCUCGAUGUUGGACUAAGAUAUCCUAAGGGUGUAGAAGUUCUUGAGGGUUGGUCUGUUCCACCAUUAAAAUCUU